UAGGGAAUCUUCGGCAAUGGGGGCAACCCUGACCGAGCAACGCCGCGUGAGUGAAGAAGGUUUUCGGAUCGUAAAGCUCUGUUGUAAGAGAAGAACGUGUGUGAGAGUGGAAAGUUCACACAGUGACGGUAACUUACCAGAAAGGGACGGCUAACUACGUGCCAGCAGCCGCGGUAAUACGUAGGUCCCGAGCGUUGUCCGGAUUUAUUGGGCGUAAAGCGAGCGCAGGCGGUUUAAUAAGUCUGAAGUUAAAGGCAGUGGCUUAACCAUUGUUCGCUUUGGAAACUGUUAAGCUUUAUUGCAGAAGGGGAGAGUGGAAUUCCAUGUGUAGCGGUGAAAUGCGUAGAUAUAUGGAGGAACACCGGUGGCGAAAGCGGCUCUCUGGUCUGUAACUGACGCUGAGGCUCGAAAGCGUGGGGAGCAAACAGG
Molecule: ribosomal RNA, 429 nt
Filed under: bacterium
Lineage: Bacteria
Description: partial 16S ribosomal RNA
Rfam family: Bacterial small subunit ribosomal RNA
Source: RNAcentral